RNAcentral lists this long non-coding RNA (141 nucleotides) under Mus spicilegus (steppe mouse). Its description in RNAcentral is "lncRNA (ENSMSIG00000016063.1)". Lineage: Eukaryota; Metazoa; Chordata; Mammalia; Rodentia; Muridae. The record is from RNAcentral.
UUUUUUUUUUAGAGAAAGGUAACAUCACACACACAAAAGUAGAUGAUAAGAAUUUAAGAUCUCUGGACGUGUGCCUGUACUAACCUACUUGAGAGGUCCCCAACAGUGACAAAUUCUACAGACAAUGAAACGGAAGAAAAG